UACGGAGGGUGCGAGCGUUGUCCGGAAUCAUUGGGCGUAAAGGGCGCGUAGGUGGCCUGCUAAGCGUGCGGUGAAAGUCGGGGGCUCAACCCCCGAUCGGCCGUGCGAACUGGGAGGCUUGAGCACUGUAGAGGCAGGCGGAAUUCCGGGUGUAGCGGUGGAAUGCGUAGAGAUCCGGAAGAACACCGGUGGCGAAGGCGGCCUGCUGGGCAGUUUGCUGACACUGAGGCGCGACAGCGUGGGGAGCAAACAGG
RNAcentral lists this ribosomal RNA (254 nucleotides) under uncultured bacterium. RNAcentral's name for it is "partial 16S ribosomal RNA". It matches the Rfam family "Bacterial small subunit ribosomal RNA", at positions 524 to 776 of the family's 1533-position model. The record is from RNAcentral.